Molecule: long non-coding RNA, 1251 nt
Filed under: Ananas comosus (pineapple)
Lineage: Eukaryota; Viridiplantae; Streptophyta; Magnoliopsida; Poales; Bromeliaceae
Description: long non-coding RNA (ACOM_LNC004084)
Source: RNAcentral
UUUUUUUUUUUUUUCUUUUUUUUUUUUAUCUUCCAUCGUUAAUUUUAAAUAUUUUGAUCAUUAGAUAAAUAAUAUUUAAAAAAUUAUAAAAUUUAUUUUUUAGAUAUUUCAAAUAUUCUAGGUCAACUCUAAUGGAGCCGAUCGUCGAUUCGAAAGUCUCAACAUUGAAAACGACUUAGAAAUAUGCAAGGCUCCGUACUUCUAAAAGCAUAUCAAUCUAUUUCUCUCUCUCUCUAUAUAUAUAUAUAUUCACACACACACAAACACACACAUUUGGUGUUUAUUAAUUUUUCGCCGUUGAUAUAUCCCUUUAAUCAUUUUCAUCAGUUGAAUUAUAAUUUUUAACCAACCACCGAUUCAACCCUAGGGGACCACUAUUAUCCUAACCGUAUAUCCCUUAAUCCAACGGCUGGAAACCUACAAGCACCAAUGACUUAAUGCUUUUAAAAAUAUAAAAGCUCAAUUCCAUAAAUAUAUAUCUAAAGAAUUAGAGCAGAAUACUAUUAAUAGCACUAAGUUAUUGGUGCUACUAUAUUUUCGGCCAUUGGAUGAAGAAAUGUACGGUUAGAAACUUAGAAUGAUAAUACUUCUCUAGAGUCGAGCAGGUGCUUGGUAGAAUAGUAUGAUCUAACGGGUAAAAAUAAUCACAGGAAUAUAUCUAAUGGUAGAAAAUUUAGUAACACUAAAGUGUUUCGUACUAUUAAUAAUAUAGCAGUCGGACUCUUUCUCUCUCUACAUACAUACAUACAUAUAUACAUACAUAUCAAGCUAAAAAGUGGGAAUUAAUCAGCACCGCCCAAAAUAAAAUAAUAAUAAUAAUAAAUGCAGAAAAUUUAUUUGAAUUAUGCAUCAUUUUGGAUUGAUUACUUAACUUUUUAAAAUUUUAAUUUUACUAUAUGUUCAUUUAAUAUGUUUGAUCCGAGUUAGUUAAUAAUAUCUUGACUUUAAAAUUUAAGCCAAUUAAUUUUUUAAUCAAUAUAUAGUGAGGGAGAAUUGUAUGAAGUAUAUAUACUAAUUAAAUCUGUAAAGAUAAAUGGCGUAUUUGAGUUUUGAAGUCAAAAUGUCGUUGGCAGGUUCGCUCUUUUGAACAAGAUUGAAUAAUUUUAUAGGAACGAUUGAUUCUUUUUCAAUAUAAUUUUACUUUUUAAAAAAAUAUUUGCUAUAAUAAACUAUAUUUAUUAUUUUUUGUACUAAACUGAUAUUUUAUUUUUUACAAAUUUUUAUUUUAACCGUAUCUAUCCGUCUUAACGU